GUGUCAGCCGCCGCGGUAAGACGUAGGGCGCAAGCGUUGUCCGGAUUUAUUGGGCGUAAAGAGCUCGUAGGCGGCCUGUCGCGUCGUCCGUGAAAACCUGGGGCUUAACUCUGGGCGUGCGGUCGAUACGGGCAGGCUGGAGGCAGGUAGGGGAGAUCGGAAUUCCUGGUGUAGCGGUGAAAUGCGCAGAUAUCAGGAGGAACACCGGUGGCGAAGGCGGAUCUCUGGGCCUGUUCUGACGCUGAGGAGCGAAAGCGUGGGGAGCGAACAGGAUUAGAAACCCGCGUAGUCC
RNAcentral lists this ribosomal RNA (292 nucleotides) under uncultured bacterium. Its description in RNAcentral is "partial 16S ribosomal RNA". It matches the Rfam family "Bacterial small subunit ribosomal RNA", at positions 505 to 796 of the family's 1533-position model. The record is from RNAcentral.